Molecule: ribosomal RNA, 245 nt
Filed under: uncultured Porphyromonadaceae bacterium
Lineage: Bacteria; Pseudomonadati; Bacteroidota; Bacteroidia; Bacteroidales; Porphyromonadaceae
Description: partial 16S ribosomal RNA
Rfam family: Bacterial small subunit ribosomal RNA
Source: RNAcentral
UACGGAGGAUGCGAGCGUUAUCCGGAUUUAUUGGGUUUAAAGGGUGCGCAGGCGGCUGGUCAAGUCAGCGGUAAAAAUUCCAUGCUCAACAUGGUCGUGCCGUUGAAACUGGCCUGGCUUGAGUGCGUUGGACGCCGGCGGAAUGCGUGGUGUAGCGGUGAAAUGCAUAGAUAUCACGCAGAACUCCGAUUGCGAAGGCAGCCGGCGACGUCGCAACUGACGCUCAUGCACGAAAGCGUGGGUAU